Molecule: ribosomal RNA, 397 nt
Filed under: uncultured Saprolegniales
Lineage: Eukaryota; Oomycota; Saprolegniomycetes; Saprolegniales
Description: partial small subunit ribosomal RNA
Rfam family: Eukaryotic small subunit ribosomal RNA
Source: RNAcentral
GCUUGUCUCAAAGAUUAAGCCAUGCACGUCUGAGAAUAAAGAGUUUUCUCUGAAUCUGCGAAUGGCUCAUUAUAUCAGUUAUAGUUUAUUUGAUAGUCCUUUACUACUUGGAUAACCGUAGUAAUUCUAGAGCUAAUACAUGCGUAAAUACCCAACUGCUUGUCGGACGGGUAGCAUUUAUUAGAUUGAAACCAAUGCAGCUUCGGCUGGUAUUGUGUUGAGUCAUAAUAACUGUGCGGAUCGCUUUUUAAGCGAUAAAUCGAUUGAGUUUCUGCCCUAUCAGCUUUGGAUGGUAGGAUAUGGGCCUACCAUGGCGUUAACGGGUAACGGGGAAUUAGGGUUUGAUUCCGGAGAGGGAGCCUUAGAAACGGCUACCACAUCCAAGGAAGGCAGCAGG